RNAcentral lists this ribosomal RNA (761 nucleotides) under uncultured bacterium. RNAcentral describes it as "bacterial SSU rRNA". It matches the Rfam family "Bacterial small subunit ribosomal RNA", at positions 28 to 776 of the family's 1533-position model. The record is from RNAcentral.
AUUGAACGCUGGCGGCAUGCUUAAACACAUGCAAGUCGAAACGGAAACGAUGCUAGCUUGCUAGCAGGCGUCGAGUGGCGGGACGGGUGAGUAAUGCAUAGGAAUCUGCCUAUUAGUGGGGGAUAACACGGGGAAACUCGUGCUAAUACCGCAUAAUCUCUUUGGGAGGAAAGCGGGGGAUCUUCGGACCUUGUGCUGAUAGAUGAGCCUAUGUCGGAUUAGCUUGUUGGUGAGGUAAAGGCUUACCAAGGCGACGAUCCGUAGCUGGUUUGAGAGGAUGAUCAGCCACAUCGGGACUGAGACACGGCCCGAACUCCUACGGGAGGCAGCAGUGGGGAAUAUUGGACAAUGGGGGCAACCCUGAUCCAGCAAUGCCGCGUGUGUGAAGAAGGCCUUCGGGUUGUAAAGCACUUUCAGAUGUGAGAAAACGGUAGUAACUAAUAAUUGCUACAAUUGAUGUUAAUAUCAGAAGAAGCACCGGCUAACUCCGUGCCAGCAGCCGCGGUAAUACGGAGGGUGCGAGCGUUAAUCGGAAUUACUGGGCGUAAAGCGCGCGUAGGCGGUUAUUUAAGUCAGAUGUGAAAGCCCCGAGCUCAACUUGGGAACUGCAUUUGAAACUGGGUAACUUGAGUAUGGUAGAGGUAAGCGGAAUUUCCAGUGUAGCAGUGAAAUGCGUAGAGAUUGGAAGGAAUAUCGAUGGCGAAGGCAGCUUACUGGGCCAAUACUGACGCUCAUGUGCGAAAGCGUGGGUAGCGAACGGG